This 92-nucleotide microRNA precursor is filed under the name Gossypium hirsutum (cotton). RNAcentral's name for it is "miR7507 stem-loop (ghr-MIR7507)". Lineage: Eukaryota; Viridiplantae; Streptophyta; Magnoliopsida; Malvales; Malvaceae. The record is from miRBase by way of RNAcentral.
GGGAAAGCUAAAGGUAGUGAAGUAGGCAAUUGGGGUCGAACCACUCUAAAUUAUUUGUGUCCAUUGUUUAAUUCUUGCCUUUGCUUUCACCA